CACGUAGGGUGCGAGCGUUGUCCGGAAUUAUUGGGCGUAAAGAGCUCGUAGGCGGUCUGUCGCGUCUGGUGUGAAAAUCCAGGGCUUAACCCUGGACCUGCAUCGGGUACGGGCAGACUAGAGUGCGGUAGGGGAGAUCGGAAUUCCUGGUGUAGCGGUGAAAUGCGCAGAUAUCAGGAGGAACACCGGUGGCGAAGGCGGGACUCUGGGCCGAUACUGACGCUGAGGAGCGAAAGCGUGGGGAGCAAACAGG
Molecule: ribosomal RNA, 253 nt
Filed under: uncultured bacterium
Lineage: Bacteria
Description: partial 16S ribosomal RNA
Rfam family: Bacterial small subunit ribosomal RNA
Source: RNAcentral